RNAcentral lists this long non-coding RNA (856 nucleotides) under Androctonus crassicauda. The record is from RNAcentral. Lineage: Eukaryota; Metazoa; Arthropoda; Arachnida; Scorpiones; Buthidae.
UUAAGAUUUACAAAUUAUGUUAGAUUUUAGGAUUUAAGAAAGAUAAAUUAGGGAAAUUCAUAAUUAAAUCAGUUUAAACAAUUAACUAUAAAAAUAAUCUAAUUGAAGAAAAUCCUAAAGUUUUCUUCAGUUCUAUUGCCUUUAAAACUUCUGCAAAAGAGAGAGAAAAUGACAUGGAAACUUAUAAUAAUUACAGAAAAUGAAAACUAUUUAGUAUGAAUAUUAACUGAAAUGUAUAUUACAUAUUGCAUUGAAAAUAAAAUUUAUUGCUGAAACAUCAUAAAUAUGAUGCUGAAUUAAAUAUAAUAAAAUAUGACUAUAUAACUAUUUUAAUAAAUUAUAAAUUAAAUGAAAUGAUUAUGGACAGGAUUGGCUAUGUGAAGAAGCUUCAGCACUCACCUAGAGGACUCAGAAUCAAAUGUAGAUCCUACCCAGUGGAAAAUUUGAGGGGUACAAGUUUAGCCAUUGAUUCCCAUCCUUUACAAUCUGAUUACCCCUAUGAAUGUAGGCAAUCUGUGGUUGGGUCUGAGGUAACUGAAAACCUAAUAUCAGCAAAUGUUUAAGAAGUGAUUGUAAUAAUUAUAAAUAUAAACAAUUUUAGUGAAUUCUGAGCUCUUUUUGCAUGUAAAGCAUAACAUAUAACUGAUAUAUAACAUUUUAUAACUAAAUCAUACUUUUAUUUUGCUUCAUUAUUAACCAUGUAGUAAUGUUUAGAUUAGAAAAAUACCAAAUAAUAUCCUUUUUAUAAAUUUGUCUAUAAAUACUCAUUGUGUUUAAUAAAAUAUAAAUAUGCAGAAAUAUUACUAAACAAAUAAACAUUUAAUAGUAUAAAAUAUUUUAUAGAAAAUUACCCAAG